CGAGUUUGAUCCUGGCUCAGAGCGAACGCUGGCGGCAGGCUCAACACAUGCAAGUCGAGCGGGCGUAGCAAUACGUCAGCGGCAGACGGGUGAGUAACGCGUGGGAACGUACCUUUUGGUUCGGAACAACCCAGGGAAACUUGGGCUAAUACCGGAUAAGCCCUUACGGGGAAAGAUUUAUCGCCGAAAGAUCGGCCCGCGUCUGAUUAGCUAGUUGGUGAGGUAACGGCUCACCAAGGCGACGAUCAGUAGCUGGUCUGAGAGGAUGAUCAGCCACAUUGGGACUGAGACACGGCCCAAACUCCUACGGGAGGCAGCAGUGGGGAAUAUUGGACAAUGGGCGCAAGCCUGAUCCAGCCAUGCCGCGUGAGUGAUGAAGGCCCUAGGGUUGUAAAGCUCUUUUGUGCGGGAAGAUAAUGACUGUACCGCAAGAAUAAGCCCGGCUAACUUCGUG
RNAcentral lists this ribosomal RNA (454 nucleotides) under uncultured bacterium. RNAcentral describes it as "bacterial SSU rRNA". It matches the Rfam family "Bacterial small subunit ribosomal RNA", at positions 9 to 507 of the family's 1533-position model. The record is from RNAcentral.